GUCUAAAUAACUCAUACUUGAACACAGAUACAAAAACUAGAAUGACAGAUUAGCAUGGCUCCUGCAUAAGAAUGACAUAGAAGUUCAUGAAGCAUUCAAUGUUUUU
Molecule: small nuclear RNA, 106 nt
Organism: Vombatus ursinus (common wombat)
Lineage: Eukaryota; Metazoa; Chordata; Mammalia; Diprotodontia; Vombatidae
Source: Ensembl